GGUAAGACUAAACUCUAAAUUGUACAUCAUUUAUGGUAUAUCAAUUAACCUUGUGAGAUUUUGAGCCUUAUAUGGAUAACAUGCAAAAAUCCAUAUCUUUCAUUCUUGUGUGAUUCACUCAUAUCUGUUAGUCUCUAGAACUUGAAUUGACUCUUGUUGAUGUUGUUGUUUACUUGCGCACACUGACAUGAUAAAGGCAAUUUUUUUUUUGUUUUUUUAGCCAGUUAGCCAAAAAGCCAACCCUGAAAUAAUAUCAUCAAUUGUUUGAAAUCCCCUUGAGCCUAUUAUCCCUUUUUUGUUUAAAACUCAUUACAAAUCGAGAAGUGAAAAAUAAUGUUAUCACCAUAUUCAAAGGGUUGAAAAAGUCUUGUUUGGAGUUGUGUGGGGUUGAAUAAUUAUGUUUGCAAUAUUUCAGAAGUUGGUAGAAAAAGAAAAGAAAAAUGGAAAAAGAAAAUAGAGAAGAAAAAAAAUGAAAAAAAAAUAGAAGGAUGUAUACAUGUCAAUACAUACUCCUUAUGAAAAAGAAAAGAAAAAAAAGAAAAAAAAGAAAAAAAAUAGAAAGGAGAAAAAAAAUAUGAAUGAAAAUAGUUACUAUAGAGUUGUUAAAGUGAACGAAAUAUUUUUUAAAUUCAACUCCCGCAGUUUCUUUCAAGUUUCUUUUGUCUCUUUGAAUUUUAGCCUAGUAC
This 686-nucleotide long non-coding RNA is filed under the name Lathyrus oleraceus (garden pea). RNAcentral's name for it is "Pisum sativum (pea) long non-coding RNA (PSAT_LNC007627)". Lineage: Eukaryota; Viridiplantae; Streptophyta; Magnoliopsida; Fabales; Fabaceae. The record is from RNAcentral.